AUACGUAGGGGCGAGCGUUGUCCGGAAUGAUUGGGCGUAAAGGGCGCGUAGGCGGCCCGGUAAGUCUGGAGUGAAAGUCCUGUUUUUAAGAUGGGAAUUGCUUUGGAUACUGUCGGGCUUGAGUGCAGGAGAGGUAAGUGGAAUUCCCAGUGUAGCGGUGAAAUGCGUAGAGAUUGGGAGGAACACCAGUGGCGAGGGCGACUUACUGGACUGUAACUGACGCUGAGGCGCGAAAGUGUGGGGAGCAAACAGGAUUAGAUACCCUGGUAGUCCACACUGUAAACGAUGAAUGCUAGGUGUAGGGGGUAUCGACCCCUUCUGUGCCGCAGUCAACACAAUAAGCAUUCCACCUGGGGAGUACGGCCGCAAGGUUGAAACUCAAAUGAAUUGACGGGG
RNAcentral lists this ribosomal RNA (396 nucleotides) under uncultured bacterium. RNAcentral's name for it is "partial 16S ribosomal RNA". It matches the Rfam family "Bacterial small subunit ribosomal RNA", at positions 523 to 918 of the family's 1533-position model. The record is from RNAcentral.